Molecule: transfer RNA, 73 nt
Filed under: Kiritimatiellota bacterium B12222
Lineage: Bacteria; Pseudomonadati; Kiritimatiellota
Description: tRNA-Lys
Rfam family: tRNA
About the family: Transfer RNA (tRNA) molecules are approximately 80 nucleotides in length.
Source: RNAcentral
GGAAGCUUAGCUCAGCUGGUAGAGCAGAUGACUCUUAAUCAUCGGGUCGUGGGUUCGAACCCCACAGCUUCCA